CCCUUAGAUGUCCUGGGCCGCACGCGCGCUACACUGAACGGAUCAGCGCGUUUUCCCUUCCCGAGAGGGACGGGUAACCUGCUGAACCCCGUUCGUGGUAGGGAUCGGGGCUUGCAAUUAUUCCCCGUGAACCAGGAAUGCCCAGUAAGUGCAAGUCAUAAGCUUGCGUUGAUUACGUCCCUGCCCUUUGUACACACCGCCCGUCGCUACUACCGAUUGGAUGGCUUAGUGAGCUCUGCAGAUUGCAGCUUGUUACCUUCGGGUGCUUGAGGCGAGAAGCAGAUCAAACUUGAUCAUCUAGAGGAAGUAAAAGUCGUAACA
RNAcentral lists this ribosomal RNA (321 nucleotides) under uncultured eukaryote. RNAcentral describes it as "partial 18S ribosomal RNA". It matches the Rfam family "Eukaryotic small subunit ribosomal RNA", at positions 1470 to 1796 of the family's 1831-position model. The record is from RNAcentral.